This 500-nucleotide unclassified non-coding RNA is filed under the name Hevea brasiliensis (rubber tree). Lineage: Eukaryota; Viridiplantae; Streptophyta; Magnoliopsida; Malpighiales; Euphorbiaceae. The record is from RNAcentral.
GCCAUCUAGAACCUAUUCUUUCUAUAUCCAGUGCUUAAAUUAUUCUUCUCAUGCAUUGGUACAUUUAACGCUGGGCCAUCAAGCAGCCAACCAAACAUGAGAUAUGCUACUGAAAUGGGGUUGGACUAAACUGAAAAUAAAUCAUACACAACAAUCUUAUACAGCAACUUAUACCAAGGCUGCCAUGUUCAUCCUACAUUAGAUAUUCAAAUCACACAGCUAAAGUUCUGAGCAAAUCUACUACUGCAACGGGUUGUUAGAAGAUAGCACGACAGGAGAUUAAACAGAGACGAAGGAAAACCAAGAACAUCGUAUCUUCUCGGCCUUUCCCAGGAAGAAUGGCACAGAGCACACAUUCAUUCUCCAAUGAGUACUUGUCUUUCUAGUCUUCACCAUCUACCGCUUUCCUCUCCUUGUAUUCACACCCGUUAAUCAGAUUCCAACCACUAACCAUUUACUACAAGCCCCUACUAACAGUAGAUUAGCCUUCUUCAUCAUAA